This 4161-nucleotide unclassified non-coding RNA is filed under the name Hevea brasiliensis (rubber tree). The record is from RNAcentral. Lineage: Eukaryota; Viridiplantae; Streptophyta; Magnoliopsida; Malpighiales; Euphorbiaceae.
GUUAGGUUCUCUUUUAUCUAGCCAUUCAAGGAAGUUUGAAUCCUCUUUCCAUAAAUUUGAUGCAAGUGACUUGGAUUCAUUUAUUAUUAUAAUUAAGAAAAUAAACGAGGUCAUUUAUUUAAUGAUAUUAAAGAUAGAAAAUUAUAAUAAAAAAUUUAAAGAUAAACCUACAAUAUGUAUGGACACAUUUAAUUUACUGUAAUUAUUAUAUUAAUUAUGUUAAGUAAUCAACAAGAAGUUUUGCUAUUAAAAAUUAUGAUUUAUGAUUGUAAUUGUAACACUCCACAUGAAUCAGAAGGGCGAUAAGUAUGAGAGACGAUGAACUGUACCACUCUAGAAACAAGCUUAUCAACCCCAACAUCUGCCGUUGUAUCUACAACCAACUUCGGUACAUCACCAACAUCAUAAUCAGUGCACCCAUCGUACUCUUCCAGUAACCUCUGGAGAUCUUGCCACGUGGAAGGCUUAUGCCAACUGGCUUGAUGAGCAGCGCCGCGUUGUUCUAGUCUGCGACGCCACUGAUCCUCAUCCAACGGCUUACAUUCAAUGAUCACAAGGCGUGCCCCGGCGGAUGAUGCCAAAAAUCCUAAUUGAUCGAGGUGUGUCUUACGAGAGAGAGGAGAAUCAAGUAUGACGCUGAGGCCGAGUCGAAGCUGCGUGGAAGCGAUUUGCCAGAUGACGUGAUAGGAAAGAUCGUUGAGAAGCUUGGAGAUGGAAGCAAUGGAGGAUCGCGAAGAGUUUUGGAGAGAGAAAGUGCAGUGGCGAACAUCGUCUUUGUCUAUGAGAGGGAUUUUAAGAAAGGAAGCUAAGGAUUGGGCCAAAGUGCUCUUGCCCGUACCUGGAUGGCCUUUCAUUGCUAUUAUCAUCUUCGCUUGCCCUAAAUCUACCAUCUCUCUCUCUCCCUCUCCCUCUAUCCAUUCUGCAAGGAAGAAAGGAAAGGAUACAGAAGUAAUUAAUGGGGAUUUGCUGGAGCUCGCCUGCUGAUGUGCCAUCCCCAGACCCACCACCAAUAUCAACCACCAUCGACCGUCUGAAUCCUGAUACAUCUCUUGUUAGUGACAGAAGCUGGCAGACUGUGGCAAGCACCGAUUUCACAUGGGCAUCUCAAGUGAGUACCAGUUUAACAGUUCCUGGGACUAAUAAUGCCACUGAGAACAGCCAAGGCUCAGAAGGAAUUGAUUUUGAGGGUCUUUCUAAUGGGGAAAUUAUUGCUGGUGAAACCUUGAGAGUUUUCACAUAUGCACAGUUGAAGGCUGCCACCCACAAUUUUAGAAGAGAUAUGCUCUUGGGAAGGGGAGGUUUUGGAAAAGUUUAUAAAGGGGGGCUCAAGGAGUAUGUGCCAUCUGAGGGCAAAAAGAAAUCGGUCAUCGCUGUCAAGAAAUUGGAUACUAUGGGCAGGCAAGGAUUUAAAACGUGGCUGGUAUGUCUAUUGCACUGUUUUUAAAAUUUCAUGCGUUUUGUGGGUUCUGAUUUUCUUUAUGGAGCUUAUCUAUUGUGCUUCUUUUGACAACAAUACUGGAAAAUGAGAAUCUCUAGUCGUAAAUGGAAAUUGUUAAUUAUAUUUAUAGUUAGGGAAGGAUAAAUGAAUGAAAUUUAGCUUGAAAUUUUUGGUGGCCUAUGGAACUGCUGUUAGCUAAACCUGAGAUCAUGAAGGUAUGCUACGGCUACUGAACAAUGGGUUGCAUUCCAUUAGAUUCUUAUGAUGUUAAGGUCGUAAAUAAAUUUGAAUAUUUACAAGGAAUUAAUUACUUCUAGUUAAAGGAAAACAUUUUAUUAAUCAUUUUAUUGGCCUCUUGGCAUAAUAUUAUCCAAAGGUUGCUUGAUUAGCUUUAGGUCAAUUGGUCAUUUUAUCAAAGAACUUUCAGGUCCUCAUGCUGCUGUCUUCCUUCCCUCUCCCCUAAUGUUCCUUAUGUAAAUUAUGUUUUUUCCCCUAAUUGUAUAAUUGGAAGACAAGUGCAUUAACUGAAAACUCAUAAUUCUACAUUUUGAUAUGGUUACUUAGAAUAGGAAUCAUGAAGAUCAAACGUACCAACAUAUUGUUUUACUGUGGCUGAAAUUAAAAGGAGACAUCUAAUUUGCUUGACACAUGGAAUUAUGAAGUGUGUUCCUUUUAUCAAAUGAUUUGUUUUGUUGAUACGUUGCCUGCAUAGCUAAUUGAGAAUUACACUUUAGGUGAUAGUGUUGUAGUUUAAUGAUCUCUUUGUGUGGUUAAGAAAGUUUUUUGAUUGUGGUGUUAUGCAUAACUAUCUGAUAGCACUAACAUUUUUUUCCAUAUUGAUUGUGGUUAGAUAAUUCUGAGUUCAGUGAUAUUUUGGAUCUGUAGAAUCAGUACUCUUUUAACCCUCUCUGGGACAGGGAACUAUUUCUUAGCUUUAACAAUUUCCUUACGUUUCAGUUGUAAUUUACUCAAGUAAUAACAUAUCAAUUGUAAUUUACUCAAGUAAUAAGCUGUCAUAUGUGCAUUCUGUUUUUGUGCUUAUGCUUUGUCCAUCUUGGUGCAGUCAGAGGUGCGAAUUUUGGGAAAGCUUUCUCACCCUAACCUUGUGAAGUUGUUGGGAUACUGUUUGGAGAAUAAAAAAUUCCUCCUUGUGUAUGAAUUAUUGCAGAAUGGCAGCUUAAAUUACCAACUAUUUGGAAGUAAGAGCUAAGAAACAUUGCUUAACAUUCCCCCAAGCAGAAUCACAGUUUUCCUACAAGUGUAUUUUUUGUUUGCUACAGGUAAACAUUCAUUUUGUUCUUUGUAUGCUAUUUGUUUCUGCUUGUGCAGAGGGCUCAGUUCGGCCACUUCCAUGGGACAUAAGGUUUAAGAUUGCUUUAGGAAUAGCUCGAGGACUGGCAUACAUGCACACGCUAGAUGCACCAAUAAUUCACAGAGAUCUCAAGUCUUCAAAUAUACUUCUUGAUAAGGUAAAGUUUUAUAUAUUUUAGACUUCCAACCAGAAAUAAUUCUAUUAAUCCUUGAUGAUGAAGAUUUAUCCCCAUUCUCUCUCUUGAGAAUGUGCUUUAUCAUCCAGUCUUCCUUUCUUUUCAUCACAUUGUGAUUGUGAGAAGGAAGGCUAAUCAUUGAAGAACAUGUAUAAAAUUGCUUCUUUUUCCUGAAAAUUUCGUGUGAGGAUCCAUAAUUCAUAUGCUUCUUCUAACCUUUGAUUUCAGUCUUAUAAUGCAAAAAUUUCAGACUUUGGCUUGGCAUUUUUGGGUUCUUUCGCUAGUUCUUCACAUGCCACAACAAGUUUAUCAGGCACUCUUGGUUAUAUGGACCCAGAGUACAUUGCCACAGGUAAUUACUAAUUUCUUUUGCACUUUUGGAACUUGAAUGACUCCAUGGUCAAAUGAUGAUCUACAUAAAACUUCUGACCUUUGUUAGCGUGGAAUUACUUGAAGCCACUUGACAUAAAUCUGCCUUUAAGCUUUGCCAUGACAUCGAUGUUAUGCUGAUUGAAUAGGGCAUUUGUACGUAAAGACUGAUGUGUACAGUUUUGGAGUUGUUAUGGUUGAGAUUCUAACAGGCUUACGUGCAAUUGAUAAAAGACGUCCGACAGAGCAAUGGGUACUUGUGGAUUGGGUGAAACCAUAUCUAUCAAGCAAAAGGAAGUUGAAAAAAAUAAUGGACUCCCGGUUAGAGGGGAAAUAUCCCUACAAGGAAGUCUCGCAAAUAGCUCAGCUUGCUAUUAAGUGUCUUCAACAAGAACCCAAAUUCCGACCAUCCAUGAAAGAAAUUGUUGAGAUAUUGGAACAGAUUGAAGCAUGCCAUCAUAAAACAAAGAGAGCCUAAAUAUUAACUCUGCUCAUGUUAUCGCCUAUCAACAGUUACAUUUGCUCUUAAACAAAAGCAGGAUGUUAAAUCAAUAAAUCUAGUGUAGAAGCACUUGCCCCGAGCAGCGUAACUUUGCCAUGAAUGCCAUUGUCAACGGAAGCUCUUCACCUGAAAUGACUGAACUGCAUCUAUGUGACAGGUCAGGUAAUCACUUCCCCAUGAAAUAUUUCAGAGUUCCUAUUAUGUAAUGAGAUAUGGAAUGGAUUGGGAUUGAUAUGUAGCUAGAGGGGUGACUUCCAUUGAUUCAAUAUAGUUCCCAAGAAAUUCUUAAUAAAUUUAACUCAAUAAAUUAUGUUUUUAGGCUAUGUUGGCAAUAGCUAAGACAUUGAAGCAUGCCAUCAUAAAAC